AUUGUAUUGUAAUAGCAGUUGUUUUAGAUUUGUCCCUUACGGUGGACUGUAAGCCAUCAGAGGGCAAAUCAGACGCGUCUUGGUUUCCAGAGCCCUGCACCCACCCACUAGACUCCGGAAUGCCAUCGGGUAUGCCGUUUAAUAUCUCGGAGCGAGAGGUUUCGUGGAAAAUGGUAGUUAAUCACCGUACCUGCUUCUCAAGACCGCUGUGAGGCUUAAGUGGGAAAUGUGUGGAGAAAAUACAUUACCGUGUGAAGCUAGUUGUUAUUCGUGUGUGUGUCGAGCACUUUCAAUCAGGAGAGCCAGAGAAACUGUUGGACUUGACACCCAACCUGGUGAGGGAAAGCGGCCCUAAUCACUGCUGGAAGCAUUAAUCACUGCAAGGAGCACCCAGGCUGGCGCAGAAGGCACCGUGUCAGCCUUUGACUGGAUAGGGUUGCAAGGGUUUGGGGUCAUGAUCUGACCGUGGGAUGCACAAGUCUUGGGGAAAUUGACUGGAUAUAGUGAGAAUCUGCCUUAUUUCCCAACAGGUGCAUGGGUCUCCUUGCAGUCAGCUCUUCUUCUCAGACCAGCAGAUCAUGAAACAAAAGAGGAAGACAACAGUUCCACUCACACACUGCCCCCCAAAGUGUCCCUUCUUCUCUGUCAUUCUAAUGACACUGAGAAUGGACUCUGCCCGUCACUCCUCGGGGGAAGACUGUCUCAUCCUGAAGCCUAGCUUCCUGGAGAUGAUGCCUCUCUGAAGGAGGGUUCUUGGCCCAUGGAGACAAUCCAGUCAGGUGCUUAAUUUCACAUCCAUCCCCCCAUACUGCAGUAAAAACACUCUUCUUCCUCAGAA
Non-coding RNA from Myodes glareolus (Bank vole), 838 nucleotides. NCBI's taxonomy places the organism in Eukaryota, Metazoa, Chordata, Mammalia, Rodentia, Cricetidae. The record is from RefSeq and is a predicted model, not a curated record.